GCGCCCGGCUCUGACGCGAUUCUAACGCGACCCCGGAAGCGCGCAGCGAGCAGAGGGUGGGUGCAGGGGGCGGUCCCCGAGUCGGCCCAGUGAGGGCUGAACUGCUGCUCCCAGGAACCGAGCGGGGUGGGCUCGGUCCGACGCGCAUCAUGGCCGAGUGCCUAGGCCUGACUCUGAGCGCAGGCCUAGCGUGGAUGGGAUGGGCGCUACACAGCUCCAAGUUACGCGAUUCAAACUCUUGGAAUAAACCCAGGGCAGCCCUGGGGCUGUGUUGAUUCCUUGUCUCCCUCCCUCCCAGCAUUUACAGAAAAGACGCAUUUAUAGGAAAGACGCACGGGCAGGUCCAGCAGAGCCCUUACAAGCAUUUCAGCCUUUUAGAAAUCAGAUAAGACCCUCUAAACAUCGUUACAUGGGCCACAGUUACAUUAAGACAGGCGUUCUGACGUUCUGAAACCGCCUUUGCAAAAAAUUGUAUCGGUGAGAGAAGGAUGGCCUUGAAGGAGAUCUGGCCAACCCCCAUCUUGCCUUUGGCCUUAAAGCUGCCUUUAAUUAUUCCUGGAUAAGCAAAGGUUUCUUGCACAUCUGACACGGAUGGAUCCAGCUAGAUGUCUUGCCAACAGCUCCUGUGGCCCCACCCAGAAGCCAUGCAGCACAAAAGGACCAAAAGGACAGCUAGAUUUCAUCUCGCACCUAACCAAUCAGCACUCCCCAUGCUCUAGCCCCCUGUUCACCAAACUACCUUUAAACAACCCCUAACCUAUGAGCCUUCAAUUGUAACCGAGCAGCUUAGCAGCUGUGAAUCCAAAAUAUCUGAGACAGGA
Molecule: long non-coding RNA, 821 nt
Organism: Pan troglodytes (chimpanzee)
Lineage: Eukaryota; Metazoa; Chordata; Mammalia; Primates; Hominidae
Exons: 2
Source: RefSeq, a predicted model, not a curated record